RNAcentral lists this ribosomal RNA (241 nucleotides) under Redunca arundinum (southern reedbuck). RNAcentral describes it as "partial 12S ribosomal RNA". Lineage: Eukaryota; Metazoa; Chordata; Mammalia; Artiodactyla; Bovidae. The record is from RNAcentral.
CGGCAACAGCCUAAAACUCAAAGGACUUGGCGGUGCUUUAUACCCCUCUAGAGGAGCCUGUUCUAUAAUCGAUAAACCCCGAUAGACCUCACCAAUCCUUGCUAAUACAGUCUAUAUACCGCCAUCUUCAGCAAACCCUUAAAAGGAAUAAAAGUAAGCACAAUCACAGCACAUAAAAACGUUAGGUCAAGGUGUAACCUAUGGAAUGGGAAGAAAUGGGCUACAUUUUCUAAUCCAAGAA